This 316-nucleotide long non-coding RNA is filed under the name Gallus gallus (chicken). Its description in RNAcentral is "long non-coding RNA NONGGAT008391". Lineage: Eukaryota; Metazoa; Chordata; Aves; Galliformes; Phasianidae. The record is from RNAcentral.
AAAGAAAGGAAGUUGGAUUGAAAUGAAGAGAAGUGGUGCAUUGUAGACCAAGUCCAGUGCCUGGGGAGCCACAUCCCAUCUCUUCAUGUGAUGCCACGAGGCAGAUAGAGCUCAUCCAUCACUCUGAGGCAUGCGUCCAAGCCUUCUAAUUACUCAGCUCCGAGCUCUUCUUACAGAAGCUUACCUAAAGGAGAUGGCAGCCAUGGCCGUAUCCACGUGCAUCGCUGCUCUAUGGGUGUGGGUGUGCAGAUGAACUGCUGUAUGCUUGGGGGCAGCAAAAGGGAUGGAGCAGCACAAGGCCAAGCGUCAAGGCAGG